Molecule: long non-coding RNA, 976 nt
Organism: Tachysurus fulvidraco (yellow catfish)
Lineage: Eukaryota; Metazoa; Chordata; Actinopteri; Siluriformes; Bagridae
Exons: 2
Source: RefSeq, a predicted model, not a curated record
ACCCAGAACUAGGACACAUGGACCAUGAAUAAGGAAACAUGGUCUAUGGAAAUGUUAGGCUCAGACUCUCCAAUGAGACCAGCUACAACAACAGAAAAACACAGCAGGAUCUAAUCCUUUUAGCCAAGAUCAAAAAUCUGAGGCUGUCAUGGGCACAGGAUCACAGAAACCCGGUAGUUGAAGAUAAAAAAAAAAAUCUCCUGGUCUGUUUCCAGUCUGUCCAAUAUGGGUAUGUCUGUGUCAAUGAUAGCCUCUUAUUCCUGUUUGUGACUGACAUGAAUGGAAGCUGAUGUCUUUUGCUGUUGCAGCUCCUCCACCUCAAGAGCUCGAUGGAUGUCUUGUGCUGCUCUCUCCAUCAGCGCGGUGCGAAUAGCCGAACGAGGGAUGGACACUCGCUCUGAAACAGAGGACAGAGGAGGACUCAGACGCUCUGCCGCCACGGAGGACAGUGGACACAGCUCCCGGCACAGAGACACCAUCGAGUCCACGAUCACCUGUCAAUCAAUCAAUCAAUCAAAACAAACAAACAAGCAAUUCAUUAAUCAAUCAAGUCUAUAAAUCAGUCCAUCCAGGAUCAGAGAUGUUUUUGUGAUCAUUGUGCGCAAAAAUGUUUGAUUUGCCUGCGUCUUGUUUUGAGAAACUAGUCAAACUGGUGAAAUUAUAAGCCCAGGAUUCUCCAGGACACAUCAGUAAUAACCGUCUAUCAGAGCUUUACUCACGUUCCAUGCACUUAAAGUCAAAAGACUUUGGAAAAUAAACCAAACCAGUUCUGCCCAAAAGCACCACAAGCACAUGGACUAUGUUAUUUUGGUAUGUGGGACCAAGAGCAACAACGGCAGCUGUGGCAACCCUCUAUUCCUUUCCUCCCUCUUCACCCCAUGUUCAUUUUGCCUUCCCGGUUUCCUAGCAACACAAAAGCGUGUGCUUUCUGUCACAACAAAUAAAUGAAUAAAUAAAUAAACAUCUCUUCUUACCA